CGGACUUUUGAUGAUGAGGAAAUAGUUCUUCAUUGCUGCGUGUUUCUUGUGUAUCACUCCGCCAGAAAAGUAGAGACCUGUUUAUGUGUUUCGUGUUUCCAAAACAGGUCAUCGUGGACGUUGGUCAGCGGAGGAUAGGAGACGUACGACUCGUGUCCGUCAAACAGCGGUGUGCUGACCAACUCGCCUGGAGAAGUUGUGGGAGUGGAGAUCAACGAAAGAGAGAGCGAUUGCAGAUGACUUGCCAGCGUUGGAAGGAGAAGGACCGAGUGUCUCACCGUCCAUGCACUUGUUUCCGAACUUCCCAAGGUGGCAGCGGCAGUCGUAACCCAAACCGCUCUGGCGGUUGAUGCAGGUGGCGUCUGGACCACACGCCUCUGUGAGGUCACAGGUCACAAAGGAGGUCAGAUACACAAUUUGUUAGUAUAGUUGGAAAGCAGACCGUGAAAUAAAUGUGCGGUAUUUAUUGAUACAUAAAUUGGUGGCGGUGUGAUUGGGGGAGGGACAUGCUUUAUCAGUAUGGUGUCUAUUCAUCAGUAUCAUGCUUUGAAAAGCUGUGUGCUACAUUUCUGUUACAGACUAAAAAUAUGCUAAUAAAGUUAAUCUAUUUAGUAAGUUGAUGUAUAUAUUUGGGGUAUGAUACUUUGGGCCCUGAACGAUUCGAUCCGAUUCCGAUUCCUGGGG
Molecule: long non-coding RNA, 684 nt
Organism: Nerophis ophidion (straightnose pipefish)
Lineage: Eukaryota; Metazoa; Chordata; Actinopteri; Syngnathiformes; Syngnathidae
Exons: 3
Source: RefSeq, a predicted model, not a curated record